CAUUGAACAACCAUAGAGGUAUUGGAUUUUUAAUCCAAUAAUAAUACAUUAUAUAUUUUCAGU
Molecule: transfer RNA, 63 nt
Filed under: Ammothea clausi
Lineage: Eukaryota; Metazoa; Arthropoda; Pycnogonida; Pantopoda; Ammotheidae
Description: tRNA-Lys
Source: RNAcentral